This 241-nucleotide long non-coding RNA is filed under the name Anas platyrhynchos platyrhynchos (common mallard). RNAcentral's name for it is "lncRNA (ENSAPLG00000022066.1)". The record is from RNAcentral. Lineage: Eukaryota; Metazoa; Chordata; Aves; Anseriformes; Anatidae.
AUGUUGCAAGUCUUGCUCAAAUGUUGUAAAUUAAGUCAGCUGUGCUACAGCACUGAAGCCAGGGAGGACUCCACUCUGCUUUGCACAAAGUUGCAACUGGAGGAAAAUGAGGAAAAAUGCUUCCUUGCUACUCUGCAAGCCUGCAUCUAUUUAAGCCAAGCAUAUUGUGGUAACUCAAGCUGGAAGAAGAACACUGAACUAGAAAAAUAUUUGUUCUAACCAUGUAUGGUCAGAAACACCU